This 336-nucleotide unclassified non-coding RNA is filed under the name plant metagenome. RNAcentral describes it as "partial contains small subunit ribosomal RNA, internal transcribed spacer 1, and 5.8S ribosomal RNA". The record is from RNAcentral.
UUUCCGUAGGUGAACCUGCGGAAGGAUCAUUAUUGAAUAUGCUUGAUAGGUUGUAGCUGGCUCUUCGGAGUAUGUGCACGCUUAUCUUGACUUAAUUCAUCCACCUGUGCACCUUUUGUAGUCUUGGGGGUUGAGAUCGGUCGACUAUCGGAUGGCCAAGGUCAUUCCGGAUGUGAGGAAUGCUGAGUGCGAAAGCAUACAGCUCUUCUCAAAUGACUCGUCUUCCUCGAGUACUAUGUAUUCAUAUACCACAUAGUAUGUUGUAGAAUGUGAUCAAUGGGUCUAUGUACCUAUAAUAAUCAUAUACAACUUUCAGCAACGGAUCUCUUGGCUCUC